AUGUGAUCUUUCGUGACUCACACUGUUAAUGGAAAAAACUACAGUGGUUGUGAUUUCAAGGGAAAAGUACAACCAACCACAACAAGAUCUUUGAACAUCAGACAUUUCCAAAAAAGGAACAUAAUUUCAUUAGUUGAGCUAAUCUCUCUGAGACAGCCACGAAAAUCCUAAAUCUCCAAAAUCGCUUAGCAACUGCGCAGAGUUGAAUGUCGUCAUUUCCAUCUACAGUUUACACUUCCGUUGCAAUGUCAUCGAAUUGAGUUCAAUAAUAAGUACGGAAUAUGGUAAUGGAUAAUGGUAGUUGAUAGCUGAUACAUGUUGUUGGGGAUUGCAUCAUGUGCUUAAAAGGAUAUCUUUUAAAAUUUCUGUUUUACAAAAAUACUGUUGAUGCCAACUCGCCUUUCUCAGUUAAAUUUUCGCUUUCUCAAGAAGGUAGGAGUGGGUGCUCGUGAUUACGUAGUAUAUGUGCACCUACAGGUAGGUACCCAUCAAGAUACUCACGAACCUAACAUAGAGGCAAACAUGUACAAUAACAAACUGGUUUUGUCUACCACAGCAAUCGACAGACAACGAUGUUGCAAACAGCAAAAGUAGCCGACCAUUAUUAGACCUUCUCUGGAAAUUUUGCAAUAAUCAGCUCUCUAUCAGAGUUAAGCAUUUGCAGACACCUUGGAAAACAAAGGAUUAACUCCAAUUUUUGUAUAUCGCAUGAGCGUGUAUUCCUGAAGAUCCUGACGUAGGUUGUUACUAGAAUGCUUCCUGUGUCCUCUGUGGGGGCAGCCAACUCGGACAUUUGUCCGGGCCGCCAAAAUUUGCCAGUGGUGUUUUGGCGUAAGUGAAAAGAUAUUUAUAUCUCCAACAGCUAAAU
This 868-nucleotide unclassified non-coding RNA is filed under the name Agrilus planipennis (emerald ash borer). RNAcentral's name for it is "uncharacterized LOC108739706, transcript variant X4". The record is from RNAcentral. Lineage: Eukaryota; Metazoa; Arthropoda; Insecta; Coleoptera; Buprestidae.